Molecule: ribosomal RNA, 406 nt
Filed under: uncultured bacterium
Lineage: Bacteria
Description: partial 16S ribosomal RNA
Rfam family: Bacterial small subunit ribosomal RNA
Source: RNAcentral
AUUGAACGCUGGCGGCAGGCCUAACACAUGCAAGUCGAGCGAGCGGCGGACGGGUGAGUAAUGUCUGGGAAACUGCCUGAUGGAGGGGGAUAACUACUGGAAACGGUAGCUAAUACCGCAUACCAUCAGAUGUGCCCAGAUGGGUGUAGCUAUUAGGUGGGGUAACGGCUCACCUAGGCGACGAUCCCUAGCUGGUCUGAGAGGAUGACCAGCCACACUGGAGCUGGGACACGGUCCAGGGUCCUGCGGGAGGCGGGAGUGGGGAAUAGUGCACAAUGGGCGCAAGCCUGAUGCAGCCGUGCCGCGUGUAUGAAGAAGGCCUUCGGGUUGUAAAGUACUUUCAGCGGGGAGGCGUUACCCGCAGAAGAAGCACCGGCUAACUCCGUGCCAGCCGCCGCGGUAAUUC